Molecule: ribosomal RNA, 758 nt
Filed under: Bacillus cereus
Lineage: Bacteria; Bacillati; Bacillota; Bacilli; Caryophanales; Bacillaceae
Description: bacterial SSU rRNA
Rfam family: Bacterial small subunit ribosomal RNA
Source: RNAcentral
CUGGCGGCGUGCCUAAUACAUGCAAGUCGAGCGAAUGGAUUAAGAGCUUGCUCUUAUGAAGUUAGCGGCGGACGGGUGAGUAACACGUGGGUAACCUGCCCAUAAGACUGGGAUAACUCCGGGAAACCGGGGCUAAUACCGGAUAACAUUUUGAACCGCAUGGUUCGAAAUUGAAAGGCGGCUUCGGCUGUCACUUAUGGAUGGACCCGCGUCGCAUUAGCUAGUUGGUGAGGUAACGGCUCACCAAGGCAACGAUGCGUAGCCGACCUGAGAGGGUGAUCGGCCACACUGGGACUGAGACACGGCCCAGACUCCUACGGGAGGCAGCAGUAGGGAAUCUUCCGCAAUGGACGAAAGUCUGACGGAGCAACGCCGCGUGAGUGAUGAAGGCUUUCGGGUCGUAAAACUCUGUUGUUAGGGAAGAACAAGUGCUAGUUGAAUAAGCUGGCACCUUGACGGUACCUAACCAGAAAGCCACGGCUAACUACGUGCCAGCAGCCGCGGUAAUACGUAGGUGGCAAGCGUUAUCCGGAAUUAUUGGGCGUAAAGCGCGCGCAGGUGGUUUCUUAAGUCUGAUGUGAAAGCCCACGGCUCANCCGUGGAGGGUCAUUGGAAACUGGGAGACUUGAGUGCAGAAGAGGAAAGUGGAAUUCCAUGUGUAGCGGUGAAAUGCGUAGAGAUAUGGGAGGAACACCAGUGGCGAAGGCGACUUUUCUNGGUCUGUAACUGACACUGAANGCGCCAAAAGCGUGGCGGAG